This 253-nucleotide ribosomal RNA is filed under the name uncultured bacterium. Its description in RNAcentral is "partial 16S ribosomal RNA". It matches the Rfam family "Bacterial small subunit ribosomal RNA", at positions 524 to 776 of the family's 1533-position model. The record is from RNAcentral.
UACGUAGGGACCGAGCGUUGUCCGGAUUCAUUGGGCGUAAAGAGCUCGUAGGCGGCCACUCAAGUCGAAUGUGAAACCUCGAGGCUUAACCUCGAGCCUGCAUUCGAUACUGGGUGGCUAGAGUCUGGUAGGGGGAUCUGGAAUUCCUGGUGUAGCGGUGGAAUGCGCAGAUAUCAGGAGGAACACCGGUGGCGAAGGCGGCUUGCUGGGCCUUACCUGACGCUGAGGAGCGAAAGCGUGGGGAGCGAACAGG